UUUAUUUGGAGAGUUUGAUCCUGGCUCAGCGCGAACGUUGGCGGCGUGCCUA
RNAcentral lists this ribosomal RNA (52 nucleotides) under Persephonella hydrogeniphila. RNAcentral describes it as "partial 16S rRNA. Bacterial SSU". The record is from RNAcentral. Lineage: Bacteria; Pseudomonadati; Aquificota; Aquificia; Aquificales; Hydrogenothermaceae.